This 59-nucleotide transfer RNA is filed under the name Loxodonta africana (African savanna elephant). It matches the Rfam family "tRNA", at positions 7 to 64 of the family's 71-position model. From Rfam's summary of the family: Transfer RNA (tRNA) molecules are approximately 80 nucleotides in length. Their secondary structure includes four short double-helical elements and three loops (D, anti-codon, and T loops). Lineage: Eukaryota; Metazoa; Chordata; Mammalia; Proboscidea; Elephantidae. The record is from Rfam by way of RNAcentral.
GUGGCAUAAAUGGAUUACAUUUGGCUCCUAAUCAAAAGAUUGAUGGUUUGAAUCCAUCC